GGGGGGAUCGAGGGUCAUGGGGAUGUAUGUAUGGGGGGUGGGGCAUUUGAAGUCUUAGCUCCACAAAUGCCUUUUUUCAAAAAAAAUAUUUGUAGAUUGCUACAAAUUAACUGCAAGCAAACCUCUAUUUGGGUCAACAAUAGGGGUGGACCCAGGCUAGAAACUGAAUAAUGGCCACCAGAAAAUUCCAUAGGAAUUGCAAAAUUUGAGUGGCAAACCAUGCUAGGUCCGCCCCGUUCGGCAAUAAGACAAGCAAUGAAAGGUAAAGAAACCCUAUCUAGUUUCAUAACGAUUGGACUCAUGUGCAUCAACCUAUCUAUCUUUGUCUAAGCUCUUCAUACAUAUGCCAGCCUUAUCAUGCUUCUUCACACUGGUAGAGAAUUGGCCUUUAGUCCCGGUUGAUAGGAUGCAAAUCUCCCGAAAAUCCAUUCGGGAUAAACCAACCGAGACAAAAGAGGGGGGUCUUUUGUCCCGGGUCACUUAACCGGGACUAAAGACCCCCUUUUAUUCCGGUUGGUAAUACCAACCGGGAUAAACAGGUCACCAUGCCAAGCGCUGCAAAAAAAAAAUCCUGGGAGGGCC
This 582-nucleotide long non-coding RNA is filed under the name Setaria viridis. RNAcentral's name for it is "long non-coding RNA (SVIR_LNC000814)". The record is from RNAcentral. Lineage: Eukaryota; Viridiplantae; Streptophyta; Magnoliopsida; Poales; Poaceae.